This 253-nucleotide ribosomal RNA is filed under the name uncultured bacterium. RNAcentral describes it as "partial 16S ribosomal RNA". It matches the Rfam family "Bacterial small subunit ribosomal RNA", at positions 524 to 776 of the family's 1533-position model. The record is from RNAcentral.
UACGUAGGGUGCAAGCGUUGUCCGGAAUUAUUGGGCGUAAAGAGCUCGUAGGCGGCUCGUCACGUCGGCUGUGAAAACCCGGGGCUCAACCCCGGGCCUGCAGUCGAUACGGGCGAGCUAGAGUUCGGCAGGGGAGACUGGAAUUCCUGGUGUAGCGGUGAAAUGCGCAGAUAUCAGGAAGAACACCCGUGGCGAAGGCGGCUCUCUGGGACGGUACUGACGCUGAGACGCGAAAGCGUGGGGAGCGAACAGG